UACGGGGGGAGCAAGCGUUGUUCGGAUUUACUGGGCGUAAAGGGCGCGUAGGCGGUCAGCACAAGUCAGUUGUGAAGUCUCCGGGCUUAACUCGGAAAGGUCAAUCGAUACUGCGGGGCUAGAGUGCAGAAGGGGCAACUGGAAUUCUCGGUGUAGCGGUGAAAUGCGUAGAUAUCGAGAGGAACACCUGCGGCGAAGGCGGGUUGCUGGGCUGACACUGACGCUGAAGCGCGAAAGCUAGGGGAGCGAACGGG
RNAcentral lists this ribosomal RNA (254 nucleotides) under uncultured bacterium. RNAcentral describes it as "partial 16S ribosomal RNA". It matches the Rfam family "Bacterial small subunit ribosomal RNA", at positions 524 to 776 of the family's 1533-position model. The record is from RNAcentral.